CUCAAGUUAACACACACACACACUGCUACAUCAUCCUCAAGGUAACACACACACACACACACACUGCUACAUCAUCCUCAAGUUAACACACACACACACUGCUACAUCAUCCUCAAGUUAACACACACACACACACACACACACACUGCUACAUCAUCCUCAAGGUAGCACACACACACACUGCUACAUCAUCCUCAAGUUAACACACACACACACACACACUGCUACAUCAUCCUCAAGUUAACACACACACACACUGCUACAUCAUCCUCAAGUUAACACACACACACACUGCUACAUAAUCCUCAAGGUAGCACACACACACACACUGCUACAUCAUCCUCAAGGUAGCACACACACACACACUGCUACAUCAUCCUCAAGUUAACACACACACACACACAC
Molecule: long non-coding RNA, 405 nt
Organism: Oncorhynchus tshawytscha (Chinook salmon)
Lineage: Eukaryota; Metazoa; Chordata; Actinopteri; Salmoniformes; Salmonidae
Source: Ensembl